Molecule: ribosomal RNA, 293 nt
Filed under: Calyptommatus leiolepis
Lineage: Eukaryota; Metazoa; Chordata; Lepidosauria; Squamata; Gymnophthalmidae
Description: partial 12S ribosomal RNA
Rfam family: Bacterial small subunit ribosomal RNA
Source: RNAcentral
GAGCGAAAGCCUAAAACUCAAAAGACUUGACGGUGUCCUAAUCUACCUAGAGGAGCCUGUUCCAUAAUCGAUAACCCACGAUAAACCCAACCACCCUUUGAAAUUUUCAGCCUAUAUACCGCCGUCAACAGCCCACCUUAUAAAAGAACAAGAGUAGGCCAAAUAGGACUUACCCUAAAAAGUCAGGUCAAGGUGUAGCUAAUAAGGUGGAGACAAUGGGCUACAUUUUCUAUAAUAGAACACACGAACUAGUUUUUUAAACAAAACUACGAAGGCGGAUUUAGCAGUAAGCU